This 151-nucleotide small RNA is filed under the name Arabidopsis thaliana (thale cress). Its description in RNAcentral is "ATSL214810". The record is from RNAcentral. Lineage: Eukaryota; Viridiplantae; Streptophyta; Magnoliopsida; Brassicales; Brassicaceae.
AAAAAACAAUAAUUAAAAGUCAGUGACAGCCAUUGUAAAUAAAUCUUAACUCCAGGAUUUAUUUCACAAAAUAGCUGCAAAAAUGUAUAUGUAGAUACCACUGCUUUUCUGUGAUAUUUUGACAUUUUAAAAAUAUGGUUCCAAUCAUUUU